This 492-nucleotide ribosomal RNA is filed under the name uncultured bacterium. Its description in RNAcentral is "partial 16S ribosomal RNA". It matches the Rfam family "Bacterial small subunit ribosomal RNA", at positions 29 to 507 of the family's 1533-position model. The record is from RNAcentral.
AGUGAACGCUGGCGGUAGGCCUAACACAUGCAAGUCGAACGGGAGCACAGUAAGAGCUUGCUCUUACGGGUGGCGAGUGGCGGACGGGUGAGGAAUACAUAGGAAUCUACUUUUUCGUGGGGGAUAACGGAGGGAAACUGACGCUAAUACCGCAUACGACCUACGGGUGAAAGCAGGGGAGCUUCGGACCUUGCGCGAUAGAAUGAGCCGAUGUCGGAUUAGCUAGUUGGCGGGGUAACGGCCCACCAAGGCGACGAUCCGUAGCUGGUCUGAGAGGAUGAUCAGCCACACUGGAACUGAGACACGGUCCAGACUCCUACGGGAGGCAGCAGUGGGGAAUCUUCGCCAAUGGGCGCAAGCCUGAUCCAGCCAUACCGCGUGGGUGAUGAAGGCCUUCGGGUUGUAAAGCCCUUUUGUUGGGGAAGAAAAGCAGCAGGUUAAUCCCCCCCUGUUCUGACGGUACCCAAAGAAUAAGCCCCGGCUAACUUCGUG